UCAAUAUCAAUGAUGAUCCCAUAUGUUAUCCUUGCUCUUUGAUCCCCAUUGAAGACACUUAUGGGGAAUUUUCUUUUCUGAGAUGAUG
Dendrobium catenatum is the source of this 88-nucleotide small nucleolar RNA. RefSeq annotates it as small nucleolar RNA snoR26. NCBI's taxonomy places the organism in Eukaryota, Viridiplantae, Streptophyta, Magnoliopsida, Asparagales, Orchidaceae. The transcript has a single exon. The record is from RefSeq and is a predicted model, not a curated record.